This is a non-coding RNA of Equus caballus (horse), 2110 nucleotides long. The record is from RefSeq and is a predicted model, not a curated record. Lineage: Eukaryota; Metazoa; Chordata; Mammalia; Perissodactyla; Equidae.
CUGAAUCUUUCUCCUCUUUACAGGCAAAGCCACUUAGGGCGCGGAAGCAACUUUCCUUCACCUUGGCCAGGCUGAAACCAUCGCAUCUAAUUGGGACUCUCGGCAGAGGCACGGACCUUCUGGCAUUCUCUCCUCAUUCUCUCUUUCUCCUUUUCUCCCUCUCUCGUUCUCCUUUUCCCUUUUCCCCUCCCCCUCCCUCCCUCCCUUUAUAGGGGUGUAUCCGCAGAGUCUUCAGUGAGCCAGGGUACCUAGACGAGAGGAUUAUUAUACAGAAAGGCAGGGCGGUUUUACUGGCUGCUUCGUCUCACUCUGUUGAAAUCCUUAGGCAACGCAUGCAAAGGACCCUUUCCGGUUAACGCCCUGACUUCUGGUAUAAUGCCUUUUCAUUUUGGCCCAGAAAGCACACCAUCCUUCAUUCAGAAGUAACACCGAGAGUUGAUGUGUUGCCAUCAUUAAUCACAGCAGAAAAAUACAAAAUGCAGGAGGUUGUGUGUUGAUUGGUCUCCCAGAAGGCUGAAAGAAAAGGAGGCUGCACUUGGCGGGUAACUGCACUCCCACAUAUGACAGGUAAAAGGAGUUGGUUUCCUAUACACCAUGUGUGGAGAGAGUGAGCACAGAGUAGGAGAUGUGUUUUCUUAGGUCCUAACCAGAAGGGCUUGUUGGAGCAACUUUGGAUCCCAGGAGACAGUCUGUGGGGGCACAAGGCUGUGGUAAUGCAACUGUGCAGGCUUGUGCUCUGCACAAAAGUGCCUCGUUGUAGAGAGAGAAGGAGCUGCUUGCCCAGUGCUCCUGUGCAGGGCUGCAUCAACCUGCUUGGAGGGUGUCUUUUUGUAAUUCAUCAAUCUGGAGGGAGCACUUUCCUAAUUCACAUACAGGGGGCUAGGAGAAGCCCGUUGAUGUAGUACAGAUGACCAGGUCCUCGGGGAGUGUAGUAAGUGCCCAGUCACGAAAGCCUCACCAGAAUCAGGUCAGACUCUGCAACGAGAGAUCUCCAUAGCUGAGGGUCUUUAAAGAGUGGACUAAAUUUGGAUUAGGAAAGUCAGCUUUGAAUACCUGCUAAGCCCAGGGAAAAAGGAAUGACUAAUCAGUUAUGGUCAAACAGGACUCUUAUCUUGUCCCCCAAACCUUCUAUCUCUGACCUCUUCAACUCUGAGGUAUCAAAAGCUCCAUCUCCUGCUUGAGGUGGAGGGAGGAUGAGGAUGAGGAGCUGGUUGAGCAGAGAGAAGAGCCUGCCAGGUGCCAUUGCCUGGCUGGGGGCAAGAGAAGCUGUAACUCAGAGGGACUUUGGAAUUUUGAUUAUUACUCUGUAUUGAACCUAAUUCCACCUGAGUCUUUGUCUUUUUUUCUUUUUUAUCGCACUAAAGUGAAGGGAGAAAUUUUUAUUUGGGAAGAAUCUGAAUGUCAAUGCACCAGCCUUGAAUAGUACCUAAGGGGAUAGAGAAGAACAAGCCCCACAGGCAAGAUAUGUAGGGGCAAUGGUGAGAAAAGAAUCAAAUUGUUUUUGUGGUGCUUUAUUAGCCUCAUUUAUUAGGUGUAUAAAUGUUCUGAUCAGUACUUUGGAUUCUUUCGCGUUUUUUCCCGAUUCUUGCAAAGGAAAACAAAAAAGAAUAGCCCUUGGAUAUUUACUAUGUGUUUCGCUUUUGUCCCACAUAUUGUACAAUGAACAGCUGAGUUAAUUUUGGUUCUAAAUUUGAAUGUUCAGAUAUUAAAAUACCUAUCACCCACAAAUAUCUUCUUUGGAAGAUUUUAAUUUUCAAUCAUUAAAUAAAUAUUAAUGAAAAAUAAAUAUUCAUAAAAUUAGUAGAUUCUUUAAAAAUACUCUUCACAAGAAAUUGAAGUACUUGUUUAUUUGUCUUCCCUAUUAGACUGGAAGUUUCAUGAGGACAGGCACUAUGAUUAUGUUUACCAUUAUAUCCCGGUACUUACAGAAAUGAUGUGUGUGGAGGGGUGGUGGCUGGGAGGAGAAGACUUGGUCAGUAGACAUUUUUUGAGUGAACGAAUUAACCUUUAAAGAUCAAAAGAUUGUACUGACAAAAGAUUGUCUUUUUUUUGCUGAAAAAUAUUCGCCCUGAGCUAACAUCUGUUGCCAAUCUUCCUUUUUUUGCUUGAG